GCCGAGGUGGCCCAGACCGGUAAGGCGCAAGCCUGGAAAGCUUGUGUCCGCAAGGACUCGGGAGUUCAAAUCUCCCCCUCGGCGCCA
This 87-nucleotide transfer RNA is filed under the name Methanomassiliicoccales archaeon PtaU1.Bin030. RNAcentral's name for it is "tRNA-Ser". It matches the Rfam family "tRNA". From Rfam's summary of the family: Transfer RNA (tRNA) molecules are approximately 80 nucleotides in length. Lineage: Archaea; Methanobacteriati; Thermoplasmatota; Thermoplasmata; Methanomassiliicoccales. RNAcentral also lists the same sequence under 1 other name. The record is from RNAcentral.